This 5942-nucleotide long non-coding RNA is filed under the name Triticum aestivum (bread wheat). Its description in RNAcentral is "long non-coding RNA (TAES_LNC001491)". The record is from RNAcentral. Lineage: Eukaryota; Viridiplantae; Streptophyta; Magnoliopsida; Poales; Poaceae.
UCGGAUAAAUAUUACAAAGUUAUAUUACAUAUGACAUACAUGAAUAAUUAAUAAGAGAAUACAUUCUUGGAUUGUAAAGAAUUCAGGAAAGACAACCUAAACUAAAUUAUCUAUUCUUCCUAUACUAUCAUAUCUAAGAUCUUGAUUUUAAUCUUGAUCUUCUUCUUCUUUUCUUCAAAACCCGCAACCAUAAACACUAGAGGGAGUGGGUUAGGAUUAGUAUGUAGCAUAUAUCCUGUCAAGUGACAGUAGAUAUAAGCCACUGUUCAGCCUCAGAAUAAAGCCAGGAGUAGAUAUAGAUCAAACCCACCCGACCAGGACCAAGUAACCAAGCAAUUAGCCACCCAGCAACUUACAAGAUAGGCAUCAAGGAGAGCUUGACAACAGCAAGCAGCUGCUGUCAACACCACCAGCACCAGAGAUUCACGCAAGGACAACACUAGCAGCACACACAACAAGCACACAGCUGAGUCACCCGUCCAGAGCACUAUAAAUAGAGCAACCCAGCCGUAGUGAGAGUUUGAUAGCCACUGGUACAACUGAACCAAACAGGAGUUGGACCAAACCCAAACCUGAGAAUUAGUGUGAAACAGCAAGGAGGUGCAGGCUAACCACAAGAAGGAUAACCAGAGCCUCAAGACCAAGCUACUCAGCACCAGAGGUAGGAUUGGAGUGAUGGAAUCCUCAGGCGUGCACAGAAAUGCUGUGUCAUGCAUCACAGGAUUUGUAGGAGUUCUUGGAGCCACAAAAAUAACUUUAGAACCCAGAGAGGCCUCAGACCAGCAUCAUAGGCAAUAAGAUCAGGCAACAUAUGUUCUUAUCAGUUUAAUAGAAGAGAGAGGGAUAGAGAAAUAGACAAGAAAGCAGAAUAUAGCCAAGACAAGCAAUAUCUGUUCUUAAGUAGAGUAAAGAUAGCAUAGAAGAAAUAGACAGGGUAGCACCCAACUGAAUAUCUGCUUCUGCAGAACACUGCACUCCACUUACACAUGGUAUUUUUCUGCAAAUAGGACACCACAUCCACCAGCACAUGGGCUAGUAUCAUUAGCAGUGCUGCUGUAAGUAUAUAUAAUGUUGGCAAAUUCUAGCCUAUCUCUCUCACCUCACCUCGGUCUUUCUCUGAAACUCAGGUGGCAGGAAGAACAGGGAGGUUUUGCGCCGCGUGAACUUGCGACUUUUCUGAUUUUCAUUCCUCUCUACUUAUUCAGAGUACAGCAACAGAAACAGGGUCGUGGCCCCCUAACUACGCGCCACCACAGAUCGUGAUGCUCGUGCCAUCCCACGAGCGAUCGGUGAGGGCGCCAGAAACGCUCCACGCACUAACUGACUCGAGCUAAACUCGCUAACAGAAACCUGAAGCUACUGACGAAACUGAAGAAAAGACUGAAACUGACGAAACUGAAAACCAAAAACACUAGCUACUGCAGACUUGGGUUUAUUCAACAAUCACCCCCUAAAUCCUAGUCUGCUUACUUUAUUUUCUUCAUUCCAAUCUUCUCUCUCAGCUGGAUGAACCUGACCCGUCCCAGGGGCUUCGUCAAAAUGUCAGCCAACUGAUCUUCAGUUCGGAUGUAAUCAACUGUCAUCCUUCCAUCCUCCACACAUUCCCUGAUGAAAUGAUACCGCACAUCUAUGUGCUUACUUCUGUCGUGGAGAACCGGAUUCUUGCAGAGAGCUAUGGCAGAUUUGUUGUCCACCAGAAGCAGUGGCACCUGAAGUUCUUCACCUGUGAUUUCUGCAAGCAGACGCGCCACCCACACGCCCUGACAUGCGGCCGUUAUUGCUGCAAUGAACUCAGCUUCACAUGAUGAAAGGGCCACCACUUUCUGUUUCUGCGACAGCCAGCUGACAGGGCUAUCACCGAGGAAAAAGACUCCCCCGGACGUGCUCUUGCGAUCAUCGAUGUCGCCCGCCAUGUCGCUGUCGCUGUACCCGACGAGCCUGGCUCCGUUGGCUCGCCGGCGAGGAAAAUGACACCCCAGAUCACGAGUGCCGGCCACGUACCUGACGAUGUGCUGAACAGCAGUCAAGUGCUCGACCGUGGGCGCUUCCAUGAAACGGCUCACGUAGCUCACCGCGAAGGUGAUAUCUGGCCGGGAGUGGGUGAGGUAGCGCAACGUCCCCACCAUGCUCCUGUACUCCGUAGCGUCCGUCGAAGCCGCUGUGCUUGCCUUGCUCAGCUUCAGACGCGCUUCCAUGGGUGUCUGACGUGCAUUACACCCCAUCAGCCCCGCCUUCUCAAUGAUCUUGUCAACGUACGCGCUCUGCGCAAUGGUCACACCAUCCACAUCCUGGCGCACUUCAAUGCCUAGGUAGUAGGAGAGCAACCCGAGAUCGCUCAUCCUAAACUUGCCCUUCAUCGCCGUCUUGAAAUUGUCGAUCUCCGUGGCGUCGGCCCCGGUGAUCACCAGGUCAUCCACGUACACCCCCAGAAGAAGGAGCUCGCGGCCUGACCCGCGUGCGUAGACGGCGUGCUCGGAGUUGCAGCGACGGAAACCCAUGUCAACGAGCGUGGUGUCAAGCUUGGCGUUCCAAGCGCGAGGUGCCUGGUGGAGACCAUACAGCGCCUUGUGCAGCUUCAGUACCUUGCGCCUGUGGUCGUCGACGACGAAACCCGGCGGCUGCUCGACGUAGACCUCCUCCUUCAGCUCGCCAUUGAGGAAAGCCGAUUUGACAUCCAUGUGAUGGAUCGGCCAUCCCCCGUGCGUUGCGAGUGCUAGCAGAAGGCGCACGGACUCCAGUCGAGCUACUGGGGCAAAAACCUCGUCGAAGUCGAUGCCAGGCUUCUGCACAAAUCCCUUGGCGACGAGGCGAGCUUUGUACUUGACGAUUUCUCCGGCCGAGUCCUUCUUGACGCGGAACACCCACUUUACCCCGAUGGCCUGGUGUCCAGCGGGCAGAUCAGUGAGCUCCCACGUGUUGUUUUCCUCGGUCAAGUUUACCUCCUCGAUCAUCGCUCUGCGCCAGCUUGGAUCGAGCUCCGCUUCUUUGAAUGUACUUGGUUCUUCAGCAGAGGCGAUCAGCAGUUUUUUGUCUGGCUGAACGGCGCCAUAGUGGAGCCCGAGAACGUCAGACACACGGCGAAAGUGAUGAGCUACGCGCGCGUCGUCAUCGGCGUCCAGCACUGGGCUCCCGGAGGGUGGUGUCACGAACUCCAAACCCCCUGGAGUGGCGGCUGCAGCAGGGGUUUGUGGUGCCUCGGUCGCCGAUUCCGGGCUGCUGACAGACACGGCCGUGUCCGGACUGCUGACAGGUGCGGGUGUGUUCACUUCAGAGCGUGAUCUGCCGCUGCAAGUUUCCGCGGAGCCGGCGGUGUCUGAGGUUCUGCUUCUUCUUCUCCGCCACUCUGAGCCAUCUGCACCUUGUAAGCUGGAUAAGGUACAGUGAACGACUCACCCACUGUUGCCGGAGUGCCAUGAGAGGAGUCCUCCCAGUUCCAUCGUGAUGACUCGUCGAAGACAGCAUCCCGCAUGAUCUGGACACGCUUGGUCGCCGGGUUGUAGGCGCGGUACGCUUUGCCGCCCUCUUCAUACCCGACGAAAACCAUCGGAGUGGAGCGGUCCUCGAGCUUGCUCUGGUGCGGUUUCACCGUCUUGACAUGAACCACGCACCCAAAGGUGCGCAGGAAGUGCACCGGAGGUCGAUCACCGUGCCACGCCUCGUACGGGGUCAUGCCGACCACGGAGCGCGUCGGCGACCUGUUCAGGAUGAACACGGCAGUGGUGACUGCCUCCCCCCAGAACUCUCCUGGCAUGGAUGCGACCUUCAUCAUGCUCCUGGCCAUGGCCACCACCGUCUGGUUACGGCGCUCCACAACGCCGUUUUGUUGAGGAGUACGGCACCGUGAGCUGCCGCUGCACCCCUCGGUCUGCACAGUAGUCGCUGAAGUCGACGGAGGUGAACUCGCCGCCGCAGUCCGUCCGCAGUGCGCGCAGCCUGCGCCCUGUCUCUGUCUCCACGCGCGCCUGGAACCGCGCGAUCGCCCCCGCGGCCUCGUCCUUGGACCGAAGCACUGACAGCCACAUGUACCUGGACAUGUCGUCGACGAGGAGGAAGUAGCGCCGCCCACCAGCCGUGGCGGGCGUGAUGGGCCCGCAAAGAUCGCCGUGCACCAGCUCCAGGAUCUGCUCCGCUCUGUAGUUCGCCUCUGCGGGAAACGAGGCACACCUCUGCUUGCCGGCGAGGCACCCGUCACACACCUGGUCGAUGUGGUCAAUGGAGGGCAGCCCGCGCACCAGUCCUUGCUGGGCGAGCUUGCGAAGCGCCUGGAAGUUGAGGUGGCCGUAUCUUGCAUGCCACUUCCACGCCUCGUCCGUUGCGCACCGUGCGGCCAGACAGACGGGGCGCGCGAGCUGGAGCGCGUAUGGGUACAGCCGGUUGCCGGCGCGCUGCACCUUUGCCAUGAUUCGACGCUGCUGGUCGUAGAGGGUGAAGACGCCGUGCUCUAUCUCCGACCUGCACCCGGUUUGGUCGAGUUGCCCGAUGCUGAUGAUGUUGCUCUUCAGCCGCGGGAUGAAGUAGACACCGCUCAGGACGCGGUGGCCGCCGGCGUGGUCGGUGAAGAGCACACUUCCGCGCCCUCGAAUGUCGACGACCGAUCUGUCUCCGAACUUGACGGUGCCGGUGACGUGACGGUCGAGCUCACUGAACGAGGCUUCCUCGCCGGACAUAUGGUUGUUGGCCCCUGUGUCCAAGUACCAGACGCCGGAGUGAGCGUCCGUGGCCAGGCCCAGAUGAGCUUCCACGCGCUCUUCGACCAGGUCGACGUGUCCGUCACGAUCGCUUGGAACCGCGGACAGAUCACACACCUACGCCAUGAGGAGGUGCGUGGGAUCGGCGUCGUCCCCGCCGUGCCCUUGGGCGAGAAGGGCCUUCGCCUCCUCGUCGCGCUUCUUCUUCCUGCAGUCACGGGCCCAGUGGCCGCUGAUGCCGCAGUAGCGACACUUGUCGCGAUCGUCGUCGUUGCCGGUGCCACCGGCGUUUCCUCUGCCAGCACCCCCGUUCUGGCCGCGUCCGCCGCCACCGCCGCGGCGCCCACGGCCCCUUCCACGCCGGCCUCGAGACGAGCCGGAGCCCGAGCCACCAGCGUGAGAAUCGCCGUUCUUGAGACGGGCGUUCCACUCCUCUUCAGUGAGAAGCAGGCUCCCCACGCUAUCAGUGCUCUGUUGCAGCUCAUGGCGUUCCUCCGCCGCUUUCAGUCUCCCAGUCAGCUCCUCAACAGAGAGCUGAUCGAGAUCGACAAGAGUUUCGAUCGAGAGAGCGAUCUGCGAAAACUGUUUGGGGACUACUGACAGAAAUUUUCUCACAACUCGUUUUUCAAGGAUGUUUUCACCGAGCUGUGCCAUCUGCCCCACCAUCGCGGUGAGACGCAUUGCGAAGUCGUCCACCGACUCGCCGUCGGCGAACUUGAUGUCGCCGUACCGCCUGGUGAGCGUCGCGAGUUUUGCCUCCCGCACCCGCGCCACACCAAGCCGCAUCAUCUUCAGAGAGUCCCACGCCUCCUUCGCCGUCGCCUUGGCGGCGAGCGUGGGUCCCAUCUCCGGCGGCACGCCGCGCAUGAUCGCCUCGAGCGCCAAACGAUCCUCGCUGCGCUCGGCGGUGCCCGUCUGGACGGCGUCCCAGAGAUACCGUCCCUCCAUCAUGACCUGCAUCAGGACAGCCCAGUCGGUGUAGUUGGAUCGGGUCAGCUGCGGCCACGCCGCACCGCCGAUGUCGCGCGCCAUCCGCUCUGUGGAUCUCUCGGCCACGGCAAGCUCGUUGCCGUCGGAGACCCGUGCCCGCGGAGUGGCCGGCGACUUGCCGCCACCGGAGUCGUCUGGACCUGCCAUCUCCAAGACCAGAACAGGGCUCUGAUGCCAAUUGUUGGCAAAUUCUAGCCUAUCUCUCUCACCUCACCUCGGUCUUUCUCUGAAACUCAGGUGGCAGGAAGAACAGGGAGGUUUUGC